GACGAACGCUGGCGGCGUGCUUAACACAUGCAAGUCGAACGGAAAGGCCCUGCUUUUGUGGGGUUCUCGAGUGGCGAACGGGUGAGUAACACGUGAGUAACCUGCCCUUGACUUUGGGAUAACUUCAGGAAACUGGGGCUAAUACCGGAUAGGAGCUCUUGCUGCAUGGUGGGGGUUGGAAAGUUUCGGCGGUUGGGGAUGGACUCGCGGCUUAUCCGCUUGUUGGUGGGGUAGUGGCUUACCAAGGUUUUGACGGGUAGCCGGCCUGAGAGGGUGACCGGCCACAUUGGGACUGAGAUACGGCGCAGACUCGUACGGGAGGCAGCAGUGGGGAAUAUUGCACAAUGGGCGGAAGCCUGAUGCAGCAACGCCGCGUGCGGGAUGACGGCCUUCGGGUUGUAAACCGCUUUCGCCUGUGACGAAGCGUGAGUGACGGUAAUGGGUAAAGAAGCACCGGCUAACUACGUG
Molecule: ribosomal RNA, 468 nt
Filed under: uncultured bacterium
Lineage: Bacteria
Description: partial 16S ribosomal RNA
Rfam family: Bacterial small subunit ribosomal RNA
Source: RNAcentral